Molecule: ribosomal RNA, 198 nt
Filed under: uncultured bacterium
Lineage: Bacteria
Description: partial 16S ribosomal RNA
Rfam family: Bacterial small subunit ribosomal RNA
Source: RNAcentral
ACGCUCGACACCUACGGGAAGCAGCAGUGGGGAAUAUUGCACAAUGGGGGAAACCCUGAUGCAGCAACGCCGCGUGAAGGAAGACGGUUUUCGGAUUGUAAACUUCUGUUCUUAGUGAAGAUAGUGACGGUAGCUAAGGAGCAAGCCACGGCUAACUACGUGACAGCAGCCGCGGUAAUCUGAGCGGGCUGGCAAGGC